CCUACGGGCGGCUGCAGUGGGGAAUAUUGCACAAUGGGCGCAAGCCUGAUGCAGCCAUGCCGCGUGUGUGAAGAAGGCCUUCGGGUUGUAAAGCACUUUCAGCGGGGAGGAAGGCGUUAAGGUUAAUAACCUUGGCGAUUGACGUUACCCGCAGAAGAAGCACCGGCUAACUCCGUGCCAGCAGCCGCGGUAAUACGGAGGGUGCAAGCGUUAAUCGGAAUUACUGGGCGUAAAGCGCACGCAGGCGGUCUGUCAAGUCGGAUGUGAAAUCCCCGGGCUCAACCUGGGAACUGCAUUCGAAACUGGCAGGCUAGAGUCUUGUAGAGGGGGGUAGAAUUCCAGGUGUAGCGGUGAAAUGCGUAGAGAUCUGGAGGAAUACCGGUGGCGAAGGCGGCUCUCUGGCCUGUAACUGACGCUGAGGCGCGAAAGCGUGGGGAGCGAACAGGAUUAGAUACCCCGGUAGUC
This 465-nucleotide ribosomal RNA is filed under the name uncultured Klebsiella sp. Its description in RNAcentral is "bacterial SSU rRNA". It matches the Rfam family "Bacterial small subunit ribosomal RNA", at positions 338 to 795 of the family's 1533-position model. Lineage: Bacteria; Pseudomonadati; Pseudomonadota; Gammaproteobacteria; Enterobacterales; Enterobacteriaceae. The record is from RNAcentral.